This is a long non-coding RNA of Neofelis nebulosa (Clouded leopard), 1088 nucleotides long. RefSeq lists it as uncharacterized. The transcript is spliced from 3 exons. The record is from RefSeq and is a predicted model, not a curated record. Lineage: Eukaryota; Metazoa; Chordata; Mammalia; Carnivora; Felidae.
UCUCUGAUCUUUCAUUUUUCUGUCCUUCCUCAGGGAUUACCCUCUCCCAGCCCCCCAUGUCCUGGGACAUGCUGAGCUAUGGAGCAGACGACGUGAUAUGUCAUCAAACAGGUGCUGCAGGCAGAACACUGAUGUGUCAGCCACAGAAACUGAAGGUGGGGAGUACAGAAGGGGGACUGGCACACAGUGUAUUUAUUUUGAGAGAGAGAGACCGAAAGACAGAGAGAAAGAGAGGGAGAGAAUCCCAAGAAGGCUCCGAUCUGUUAGCAUGGAACCUGACUUGGGACUCGAACCAUUGAACUGUGAGAUCAUGACCUGAGCUGAAAUCAAGAUCUGGAUGCUCAAACGACUGAGCCACCCAGGUGCCCCGCAUAGUUUAUAAACAAUAAAAUUCACCCAUUUAUUAGUGUACAAUUCAAUGAUUUUUAAUAAAUUUACAGAGUUGCGCCACCACCACCACUGCCAAGGGCAAAGUCUGAGGGCAAGGCGCCAAUCCUCUCUUGCUCCUUUGCUGGCUAGAAUAGAGUCCCAGCCGUCCUACCUGCUGACAGAAGGCUUCUUGGAGGAGGCUGCAUUCCAGAGGGGCCUUCAGGACCCGGAGGCACCGGCCCAGUAGGGCCCACCAUUCCGCCAUCGUCUGGACAGGCCAGCUUUGCAGACCUGCACACUCUGGCUCUUCACAUUCUUCCCCACACUUCCAUGUGCACUCCUGACAUCCCUGCUACACCCUCUUCAUGUCCUCUCCACCAACUUUGGAGCUGGUCUUCUUGGCCUCCAGGGGAGACGAGAGCUCUGUGUCCAGGCCCAAAGCCACUGCAGCCGCUGGGGCCCCGAGAGCGUGAAUAAUAAUGUAAUGAUAACACAAUAACAGUGUCAACAAUAAUAAUAACCAUGGCGGAACACUUAAAGAGGCAUGGAGCUAAGAACACAUGCAUUAUUUCUUGUAACCACUCCCCCAUCCCCAAGCUCUACCAGGCAGAAGUACCAAGAUCCCCAUUUCACAGAUGAAGAAACUGAGGCUUGGAGAGAUUAAGAUCUGCCCUCUGACACUCUGAUGCCAGAACUCCUCACUCCCCACUCUCGGGAGC